UGUGCUGGUUCUCUUGAUGCUUACAAAAUGU
This 31-nucleotide non-coding RNA is filed under the name Rattus norvegicus (Norway rat). Lineage: Eukaryota; Metazoa; Chordata; Mammalia; Rodentia; Muridae. The record is from RNAcentral.